RNAcentral lists this small RNA (35 nucleotides) under Arabidopsis thaliana (thale cress). RNAcentral describes it as "ATSL232880". Lineage: Eukaryota; Viridiplantae; Streptophyta; Magnoliopsida; Brassicales; Brassicaceae. The record is from RNAcentral.
ACAAUACAGUGGAGGAUGCUAGAACUAUUUUGGAG